AGCGGCAGAGCUCAGAUUUGAAAUCGUGCUUUGCGGCACGAGUUGUAGAUUGCAGGUUGGAGUCUGUGUGGAAGGCGGUGUCCAAGUCCCUUGGAACAGGGCGCCCAGGAGGGUGAGAGCCCCGUGGGAUGCCGGCGGAAGCAGUGAGGCCCUUCUGACGAGUCGAGUUGUUUGGGAAUGCAGCUCCAAGCGGGUGGUAAAUUCCAUCUAAGGCUAAAUACUGGCGAGAGACCGAUAGCGAACAAGUACUGUGAAGGAAAGAUGAAAAGCACUUUGAAAAGAGAGUGAAACAGCACGUGAAAUUGUUGAAAGGGAAGGGUAUUGCGCCCGACAUGGGGAUUGCGCACCGCUGCCUCUCGUGGGCGGCGCUCUGGGCUUUCCCUGGGCCAGCAUCGGUUCUUGCUGCAGGAGAAGGGGUUCUGGAACGUGGCUCUU
Molecule: ribosomal RNA, 435 nt
Filed under: Pichia kudriavzevii
Lineage: Eukaryota; Fungi; Ascomycota; Pichiomycetes; Pichiales; Pichiaceae
Description: partial large subunit ribosomal RNA
Rfam family: Eukaryotic large subunit ribosomal RNA
Source: RNAcentral